UAUCUCUAGCGAUAAUUUUAGAAAUUUAGACUGACCUUGUUCAUAUUCAAAAUGAAAAUAGUCGGGUGUGAGUAAGUGUGCACUCGAUUGACUACCAAUAGAAAUAUUUAAAUACUCAUCUUAUAUAAAUAAUUCCGUAUUUUGCCUAUCGACUGCUUUCGGGUUGAAUAGGCAUCUAUUCCUCAAAUAUUGGUUAUCCACAACCAUAGCAGGCUCCUGAAACUUAGACUGACUUCCGCUCGUGCUGGACAUGUUGCAAUUUAACGGGAAAACGGCAUACCAACCGGGAUGAGGUUCUCGAAAGGGCUGCUGUUGAAAUUUUAAAAUGUUGUUUACAUGUGCUGAAAAUGUCCUGUUGUGAAACACCAUGCAGGCGAUUCCUCGAGUAAUGAUGGAGAAUCUGGGUCCAUUGUCAAAUUCAAGAUAGGCAGCGUACCAAGAAAAUUCGACUGCUCAGAUUGACGAUGUCGUGCUGAAUGAUUACAUAGGCAAUAAAAUACCGCGAAAAUAAUUUUGAAGCGGGAAAACAUUACGCCCUCUAUGCUACAUAUGAUGAAACACCCAGGAGAAAUUAAUUUCACUCUAAUGCACUGCCCGUUUAAACGAAUGAAAUUAUAAUU
Molecule: long non-coding RNA, 620 nt
Filed under: Mytilus galloprovincialis (Mediterranean mussel)
Lineage: Eukaryota; Metazoa; Mollusca; Bivalvia; Mytilida; Mytilidae
Source: RNAcentral